RNAcentral lists this small RNA (786 nucleotides) under Arabidopsis thaliana (thale cress). Its description in RNAcentral is "ATSL226380". The record is from RNAcentral. Lineage: Eukaryota; Viridiplantae; Streptophyta; Magnoliopsida; Brassicales; Brassicaceae.
AAAACACCAAAACUGAAAAUUGUAGACUUGUCUUUAAAAAUGAUACAUCUCUAGGGAUGUUGUGGUGGGUAAAAAAACCUAACCCAGCCCAAACCCAUAAAAAAACCGCCCAUAAAAAUUCCAAUUUAAAAAAACUCGAAUGGGUUUUAGUACUUGUGGGUAAAACCCAGAAAAACCCAUAUAAUCCAGAACUACCCGUGGGUACCCAAAUGUUAUACAAAUAUAUUUUAAAUUGUAUUUAUUUUCUGUAUUCUAUAUUGUAUAUAUUUGGUGGGAAAAUGUUGAAUCACGUUUUUGGCGGAAAAAUGUUGAAUCGCGUUUUUUGGGGGAAAAUGUCGAAUCGCGUUUUUGGCGGGAAAAUGUCGAAUCGCAUUUUUGGCGGGAAAAUUGUUGAAUGUCGUUUUGGCGGGAAAAUGUUAAAUUGCGUUUUGGCGAGAAACUGUUGAAUCGCGUUUUUUGGUGGGAAAAUGUUGGAUUUCGUUUUUGGCGGAAGAAUGUGAAAAAAAUUGACGAGAAAAUAUUGAUUCACUCGAAAAAAGACCAAAAAAAACCUGUUGGUACCCAUAACUCAAUGAGAUAAACCCAUAUGGGCUUUAUUUAUUUGGAUACCCAGCCCAUUUUAAGCCUAUGUUUUUUUCCCACAAAAAGUUUAUGUGGGUUUUGGGUACCCAAUGGGUUUUAACCCAUUAUUAACAUCUCUAUACAUCUUCCAAAAAAGAAAGAGAAACCAUUCCAACACAAUAGAACAUUAGACAACUAGAGGGCAAAAGCAAAUCAUUCUUGGAU